Molecule: ribosomal RNA, 497 nt
Filed under: uncultured bacterium
Lineage: Bacteria
Description: partial 16S ribosomal RNA
Rfam family: Bacterial small subunit ribosomal RNA
Source: RNAcentral
GAUGAACGCUGGCGGCGUGCCUAAUACAUGCAAGUCGAGCGAACGGACGAGAAGCUUGCUUCUCUGAUGUUAGCGGCGGACGGGUGAGUAACACGUGGAUAACCUACCUAUAAGACUGGGAUAACUUCGGGAAACCGGAGCUAAUACCGGAUAAUAUUUUGAACCGCAUGGUUCAAAAGUAAAAGACGGUCUUGCUGUCACUUAUAGAUGGAUCCGCGCUGCAUUAGCUAGUUGGUAAGGUAACGGCUUACCAAGGCAACGAUGCAUAGCCGACCUGAGAGGGUGAUCGGCCACACUGGAACUGAGACACGGUCCAGACUCCUACGGGAGGCAGCAGUAGGGAAUCUUCCGCAAUGGCCGAAAGCCUGACGGAGCAACGCCGCGUGAGUGAUGAAGGUCUUCGGAUCGUAAAACUCUGUUAUUAGGGAAGAACAUAUGUGUAAGUAACUGUGCACAUCUUGACGGUACCUAAUCAGAAAGCCACGGCUAACUACGUG